RNAcentral lists this ribosomal RNA (403 nucleotides) under Verrucomicrobiota bacterium. RNAcentral describes it as "Verrucomicrobia bacterium partial 16S ribosomal RNA". It matches the Rfam family "Bacterial small subunit ribosomal RNA", at positions 355 to 776 of the family's 1533-position model. Lineage: Bacteria; Pseudomonadati; Verrucomicrobiota. The record is from RNAcentral.
UGGGGAAUAUUGCACAAUGGGCGCAAGCCUGAUGCAGCAACGCCGCGUGAACGAUGAAGGUCUUCGGAUCGUAAAGUUCUGUUGCAGGGGAAGAUAAUGACGGUACCCUGUGAGGAAGCCCCGGCUAAUUACGUGCCAGCAGCCGCGGUAAUACGUAGGGGGCUAGCGUUAUCCGGAUUUACUGGGCGUAAAGGGUGCGUAGGUGGUCCUUCAAGUCGGUGGUUAAAGGCUACGGCUCAACCGUAGUAAGCCGCCGAAACUGGAGGACUUGAGUGCAGGAGAGGAAAGUGGAAUUCCCAGUGUAGCGGUGAAAUGCGUAGAUAUUGGGAGGAACACCAGUAGCGAAGGCGGCUUUCUGGACAGCAACUGAAUCUGAGGCACGAAAGCGUGGGUAGCAAACAGG